UACGUAGGGGGCAAGUGUUAUCCGGAUUUACUGGGUGUAAAGGGAGCGUAGACGGCACGGCAAGCCAGAUGUGAAAGCCCGGGGCUCAACCCCGGGACUGCAUUUGGAACUGCUGAGCUAGAGUGUCGGAGAGGCAAGUGGAAUUCCUAGUGUAGCGGUGAAAUGCGUAGAUAUUAGGAGGAACACCAGUGGCGAAGGCGGCUUGCUGGACGAUGACUGACGUUGAGGCUCGAAAGCGUGGGGAGCAAACAGG
RNAcentral lists this ribosomal RNA (253 nucleotides) under Dorea longicatena. RNAcentral's name for it is "partial 16S ribosomal RNA". It matches the Rfam family "Bacterial small subunit ribosomal RNA", at positions 524 to 776 of the family's 1533-position model. Lineage: Bacteria; Bacillati; Bacillota; Clostridia; Lachnospirales; Lachnospiraceae. The record is from RNAcentral.